This 1810-nucleotide small RNA is filed under the name Rattus norvegicus (Norway rat). RNAcentral describes it as "uncharacterized LOC103693320". The record is from RNAcentral. Lineage: Eukaryota; Metazoa; Chordata; Mammalia; Rodentia; Muridae.
CAAAGAUACCGGAUCUUGUUUGGCCUGGAGUUCCCCAGUUAGGCUGAGCUGGCUGUGUUCGUCCUCUCCUGCUCCUCAGUCUUGGGAUUAUGCUCCUCCACUCCAGGCUUUUCUACACAGUUCUGGACUGAAGCUGGGUCUUCAUGCUUGAAAGCAAGCACUCUUCCCACUGCCCACCCGCUUCCCUGCCCUGUCUCUCUUUCCUUUCUUCACCUUUACUAAAGAUGCAUUUCACAUGCCACAGGAUUCGCCGUGUAAGGCGUACAGCUCAGUGCUGGCUUGAAUAUUCAGAGUUGAACAGAUAUCUAAUUUUAGACCACUGCACCGUCUUCAGAAGAAACCCCAUCCAUCAAGAGUCAGUCCUGUCUCUGCUCCCCUCUUACUGUCUGGGGUUGGGUUUUAAUGUGUUGUAUGUUUACGUGGUUCAGAACUGAAGAUGACAGAGAGCUGUAAAGCAGGUUGCAAAAUACCCGGGAAGUUCUAGCACUUACUCCAUGCCUUCUACAUACCUCCCACAGGUAGCCAUUUUCAUAAGUUGUCUGUUUCCUGCAUUUCUUUAUGCAAAUACACGGGAAAUCCCACGUAAGAUUCCGACUCCCUACCCUCUCUUCACAGAAAGAUAAAGAUCCUUUGAGGGGGAAGCUAAUGUCCUUCGAAUCAUCAGUAAAACGGUUUCACUUGGGAGCUAGUAGUUUCAGGUUACUCGUGGCCCUCAGCAUCGUCACAGGAUUCAGCAUGGCCUCAGGUGGCUCUACAUGCUAGUCAUACCGAGUGGCCCCUGAGGCAGCAAAACCUGAGGACAUCACCAACGCAGCUGCGCAGAUCGCUUAAGUCCUCAUGGAUCUCAGGUUUCAUCUCUUCCUGAGGCAACCGCAUGGGCCACAGUCACCAACAUGGCCUCCAGUGGCUUCGGGGACCACUGUGGUCCUUCAGGGAGGUCCAAUCCAACAAAGAUGUUUAGGAUCAGGCCAUCCAACUCUAAUUAGCAGCUGUGGGACACUCCCUUGCUGCUGAGCUGCCUAGAGAAGAGGACCAUGGGUCAAACAACUACCCCGUGCCAGCCUGAGCCAUCUGGAACAAACCAGAUACCUUGAGGCAACCCUAACGAAGCUGCACUGACUGCGUGGCCCCUGGAAACACAGCUCAGUCAAAGCUCUGUGAAGCAGUUUGUACCAGACUAUUUCGGUCACAAGCCUGAGUGAACCAUGUCCACUUUGGCCAGGGAGCCACUUCUGUGGUGGAAGGGCCACUGUCACUAGUACUAAGGAGCAAGGGCAUGAUUGAUCCCGGGCUAAGAGAUGAGACACUGGUGGCUGUCCAGGACUAAGGUCUGGAUAUCAAGUCCUGCAGGAAGACUGUAGCUCUAGAAAGGCCGCUUGUCAACUGCCUUUGCCUUCCCACUGCCGCUGCACUUCAACCAAGCACUAAACAACAAGAAAGCUGCGAGAGACUUUGUUUGUUCGUUCCUCUGUUUGUGAGUGAGAGGAUCUCCUGUAUCCCAGGCUAGCCUCAAACUGAAAAUAACCUUAAACUUCUGAAACUGCCUUUCCUUUCCAAGUACUGGGUUGUAAGUGUGCACCACCCACUGUGGAUUUAUAUGACCCUGGGAUCAAACUUAGGACCCUAAGUAGAAAGCCCCCUACCAAAUGAGCUACAUCCUCCAUCCCCAAACCGACUUUUAUAGAGUUUCUUGCCUACCCACUUGUAGCUAGAUAGAACAAAAAUCCUCCAGCCAGCUUACUGGUGUCAUGGGGACAGUUGCUUGGUCACCCAGUGCCUACCUUGGAGACACAAACAUCAUAAUUCAUCA